AGAGAGGUCGGAGGUAAGUGGCUGUAGAAGUCGGGCGGACCCGGAACCCAGAGGACGCGACACCAUGACUUAUGCUUAUCUCUUCAAGUAUAUCAUCAUCGGAGACACAGGUGUGGGGAAGUCAUGCCUCCUGCUCCAGUUUACAGAUAAGCGGUUCCAGCCUGUCCACGACCUCACAAUAGGUAAGUGCAUCUACUUGUUCCAGAACAGAUGAUAAAACCUGACUAGUUAAAUUGCUAAAGUGGAAAGUUAGCAGCCUUCAGUGUUCGAAGUAAAAAGUUACCCCUCACUACUUUAAACUAGUCCAAACUUAUGUUAAUGAAGUGACCAAUGAAACGUUGAUAUGUGGGGAGUAGUGUAUAUAAUUAAAAGGUAACUUUUUAGAGUGUGAGGUAUAGACUCGUCAUAUAAUUUUUUUUCAAAUACAAUUUGU
RNAcentral lists this small RNA (433 nucleotides) under Pan troglodytes (chimpanzee). RNAcentral describes it as "processed transcript". Lineage: Eukaryota; Metazoa; Chordata; Mammalia; Primates; Hominidae. The record is from RNAcentral.